Small nuclear RNA from Vombatus ursinus (common wombat), 107 nucleotides. The record is from Ensembl. Lineage: Eukaryota; Metazoa; Chordata; Mammalia; Diprotodontia; Vombatidae.
GUGCUUACUUUGGCAGCAUAUACAUUAACAUGGGAAUGAUACAGAGAAGAUUAACUUGGCCCCUGUGCAAAUUUGUGAAGCAUUACAUAUAAGAGGAAGAAAGAAAG